Long non-coding RNA from Cotesia glomerata, 454 nucleotides. RefSeq lists it as uncharacterized. NCBI's taxonomy places the organism in Eukaryota, Metazoa, Arthropoda, Insecta, Hymenoptera, Braconidae. The transcript has 3 exons. The record is from RefSeq and is a predicted model, not a curated record.
UAAUCAUACUAGAACGAUAACAACGUACGAUUCAAUGAUGAAAUUUUUUCGGUUGUAAACGAAAUUUCGAUGAUUUAACUAUAAAUAUUCGGGAGAAAAUCCGUUAGGGUAUCAGAUGUUCAAGUGAACUUGGAAGUUUCGUUUGGUGAAUCGAAAAGAAGACUAAGCACUAAUAAUGUCGAAAGUACUAUUUAUUCUCAUCGCUCUUUGCAUAAUUGCUACUAUAAUUAUGCCCCAAAUUGUCGAAGGAGCCCACCGAAAAUGCAAGGGAUCCGGCGCUCCGUGCAUGUAUUCCAUGGAGUGCUGUUCAAGAAUCUGCAUGAAAGCAGCCAAACCAUACAAAACUCUGUGUCGUUAAAAUCAUCUUACAAUUACGAUCUUCAUCGUUUAUCAUUGAUUAAUCAGUAUUUAAUUAAUUCAAUUAUUAAUUUAUAUAACUAAGAGAAUAAGGAAA